Molecule: ribosomal RNA, 497 nt
Filed under: uncultured bacterium
Lineage: Bacteria
Description: partial 16S ribosomal RNA
Rfam family: Bacterial small subunit ribosomal RNA
Source: RNAcentral
GAUGAACGCUGGCGGCGUGCCUAAUACAUGCAAGUCGAGCGAACGGACGAGAAGCUUGCUUCUCUGAUGUUAGAGGCGGACGGGUGAGUAACACGUGGAUAACCUACCUAUAAGACUGGGAUAACUUCGGGAAACCGGAGCUCAUACCGGAUAAUAUUUUGAACCGCAUGGUUCCAAAGUGGAAGACGGUCUUGCUGUCACUUAUAGAUGGAUCGGAGCUGCAUUAGCUAGUUGGUCAGGUAACGGCUUACCAAGGCAACGAUGCAUAGCCGGCCUAAGAGGGGGAUCGGCCACACUGGAACUGAGACACAGUACCGACUCCUACGGGGGGCAGCAGUAGGGAAUCUUCCGCAAUGGGCGAAAGCCUGACGUAGCAACGCCGCCUGAGUGAUGAAGGUCUUCGGAUCGUAAAACUAUGUUAUUAGGGAAGAACAAAUGUGCAAGUAACUGUGCACAUCUUGACGGUACCUAAUCAGAAAGCCACGGCUAACUACGUG